AUGCCACCUUCCGUGCACGACACAGAAGGCCUACCGUUCAUGAAGCAUGGUUGUGUCUUCAGUGCGCACCGCCGGAUGAACGACAUGCUGGGACACGCUAUCCCUGAUUUAUGCCGCUUCAGCUUGGAUGAGUCUCCAUCCAGACGCAAAUGCGCUGGCCUUCAUGAUUCCAGGACCUGGAAUCAUACCAGCCGAUGGUACCAUAUAACUGGAAUUAACCGAUGCAAGUCGAAGAAGGAUUGGCCGGUGCUGCCGGCUGGCGUCAAGUUUGAUCCCACGGAUCAGGAGCUAUUCGAGCACCUUGAGGCCAAAGUGAGUGCUGACAGCGUGAGAUCUCACCCUCUCAUCGAUUUGUUCAUACCAACUAUCGACAGCGAGCACGGCAUAUGCUACACCCAUCCUGAGAAACUUCCAGUGAUGGUCAACGGCCGGCAGACAGGCAGCAAAAAGGUUCUGGUGCUGCACACAAACAAGAAAUUCGACCAGCAGAGGACCAACUGGGUGAUGCACCAGUACCACCUCGGGGACCUGGAGCAAGAGAAGGAGCGGGAGCUGGUCCUCUGCAAGAUUUUCUACUAG
Molecule: ribosomal RNA, 579 nt
Filed under: Triticum aestivum (bread wheat)
Lineage: Eukaryota; Viridiplantae; Streptophyta; Magnoliopsida; Poales; Poaceae
Description: partial small subunit ribosomal RNA
Source: RNAcentral